Molecule: ribosomal RNA, 450 nt
Filed under: uncultured bacterium
Lineage: Bacteria
Description: bacterial SSU rRNA
Rfam family: Bacterial small subunit ribosomal RNA
Source: RNAcentral
GUGGGGAAUUUUGGACAAUGGGCGAAAGCCUGAUCCAGCCAUUCCGCGUGAGUGAAGAAGGCCUUCGGGUUGUAAAGCUCUUUCGGCAGGAAAGAAAUCGUUGCCCCUAAUACGGGUAAUGGAUGACGGUACCUGAAGAAGAAGCACCGGCUAACUACGUGCCAGCAGCCGCGGUAAUACGUAGGGUGCGAGCGUUAAUCGGAAUUACUGGGCGUAAAGCGUGCGCAGGCGGUUUUGUAAGUCAGAUGUGAAAGCCCCGGGCUCAACCUGGGAAUGGCGUUUGAAACUGCAAGGCUAGAGUGUGUCAGAGGGGGGUAGAAUUCCACGUGUAGCAGUGAAAUGCGUAGAGAUGUGGAGGAAUACCGAUGGCGAAGGCAGCCCCCUGGGAUAACACUGACGCUCAUGCACGAAAGCGUGGGGAGCAAACAGGAUUAGAUACCCGAGUAGUCC